This is a long non-coding RNA of Pleuronectes platessa (European plaice), 1080 nucleotides long. RefSeq lists it as uncharacterized. NCBI's taxonomy places the organism in Eukaryota, Metazoa, Chordata, Actinopteri, Pleuronectiformes, Pleuronectidae. The transcript is spliced from 2 exons. The record is from RefSeq and is a predicted model, not a curated record.
UAUAAUUUGUGUCAAAGUGCUGAAGCUCAUAUUGACACACAGUCUGGGUUACACGAGUGUGGACUAUGGAUUGUAAAUACAGAUGGACGACACAUCUCCACGUCCUCACGUCCUCCUACUCUCCAGAAAUGAAGCCAAAAUACCCAGGAUAUAUCAGCUUCUGUCUUGAGCUGAAGUCGUUAUUUGGAUCCAGAGUCUAUGCAGUAGCAAUCAGUGGGUGGAACCGCAGUGGAGGGGCCACUCGUAGAUUCGGUCAACCAAUUGAGAAAGCGUCUGGGCCAACAGGCUGAAACAAUGGAACAUCUGGACCUAAUGGAGAGAGGGCCACACAGACAUGGAGAAGUGAGGUCAGGCCGAUACUCCGAGAGGACAUUGAGUGCAGGUGGAGGACAUCACUGUUCAGGAGCAACCUAAGUUCGGCCUGGAUAAAUUAUUUUAAAAGGCAAAGCUAAAAAGAGUGAUUUUUUUUUCAACGGUAAAUGCUGUCGGGUCACACAUGCAAAUAAGUCUGUCGUUAAAACAAGGUUCUCCCGAACAAUCACUCUCUGUUAAACACAAUUGCCUUAUUUCCCCUCAGAGGAACAGCAGAGUGCCUGGAGUUGGCACUGACAUGUACUGUAGGACAACUGGAAAAUCCAUCAGCGUCAUGAAGGGGGGGCUAUAAACAGAGGAUCCACAAGGAGAAAAGGGGAAUGCAAACUGAAAUACAACCAAGUCCCUCCUCCAGUAUAAGAAAAUCUGGAGUUGGAUGGACUGGUCAAUUUACUGUUGACCUAGUUGGCAAAAUAUUUUGGCUCAUAGCGAACCAAUCUUGCGAGAAAAACAAAAGCAUUACAUAAGAUAACUAUUCUGCUACAUUCCAAAAGCAACAGUCUGGGUAAGUUCAUUGUUAGUGCCAAGGAGGCAAUGCAUAUAUUAGCUGAUAGUAUAAAGUGCUUCCCCAUCAAGUCUCUCUCAAGUAAACUCAGGUAAACACUUUUCCUGUGAGACACUCACCGUUUUGGGAACUGAUUUUACAGAUGAGAUUAUUUGCUUCCUGUUUAGAGCAUGGAACAUGAAAAUAAAAGUUUUCCUUACGAA